Helianthus annuus (common sunflower) is the source of this 781-nucleotide long non-coding RNA. RefSeq lists it as uncharacterized. NCBI's taxonomy places the organism in Eukaryota, Viridiplantae, Streptophyta, Magnoliopsida, Asterales, Asteraceae. The record is from RefSeq and is a predicted model, not a curated record. The transcript is spliced from 3 exons.
GUAAAUGGUCUGGUGCAAUGCAGAUUGCAUUAAGACGGGCAGCGAUGUCAUAUAUGAAAACUGUGGACGAUUCUUACAUUGGGAGCUCUGAUGAGGAUUCUUUUCUGGUUGCUCAAUAUCACUACCGAUUGUUAUCAUAUUACUUAUACAAGCAAGGAAAGUAACUACUUGAAAGGAGCAUUCCAUGUAUAUAGACAAUGUUUUCCCUCUUUACAGGUGAUGUAUUAUUUAAAAGAAAUAGAAAUGAUUCCCCUGGGCCGCUUAUGUUUUAUUGAACUCUUGAUUAACAUUUUUUUAUGUACAGUUUGUAUGCGUAUAUAAUCCUAUAUAUGCUUAUGUAUGCCGCAAAUAUAUACUUCUGGAAGCACUGCAGAAUCAACUACUCCUUCAUAUUUGGUUUUAAUCAAGGAACUGAAUUAAGCUACUAGGAUGUAUUCCUCUUUAGCACGGGUCUUGCAGUAUAUGCCCAUAUACCACCAACAAUCCACUACCAAUUCGGGUUCCAGGUUUGUUACUUUCUUUAAAAUUAUUUGUUCUAGACCAAAUAUACAACAUAUUAUUCUUUUAUUAUUAUUGUUAUAUGUAUUCUCCUAUUUUUUAGAUGGUGACAUAUAUAAAUGUAGGUAAUAAAGUUGCUACAAAUCAAGACCAUAAUAUGAAGAUGCAUAUAAAAGACUUAUAAGAAAGUCGAACAUCGUCAAGAAGAAUUUGCAUAUGAUGAAGAAGGUGUGACAGAAUACUGUGGUAUGGGGAGGGGAUCCAUCAGAAGUCAUAUACUCGG